UUCAAGUAUAAACGCAGGCCUGUACUCACCAUUACCUACCCCAAUUUCCAUUUGAGAAGAUCUAUCAAUUGAUUUCGGGCUCUGAUUACCAAAAACUCAAAGGCAGUAUGACUGAGUCAUGGUUGUAGUCGACAGAUUCAGUAAAAUGGCACACUUUGUGGCUUGUAAGAAGUCAAAUGAUGCCACCUACAUAGCUAAUUUAUUCUGUCGAGAGAUAGUUCGGCUGCACGGAGUACCAAAGACCAUUGUUUCUAAUCGGGAUGUCAAGUUCCUAAGCCAUUUCUGGAAGACAUUAUGGAGCAAAUUUGACACAACCUUGAAUGAAAUAUAGCACAACAUCACACCCUCAAACAGAUGGCCAAACAGAAGUUACAAAUAGAACUGUCGACAACUUAAUAUGCUGUCUUAGUGGAUCCAAACCAAAACAGUGGGACUUAGCUCUUGCACAGUCAGAAUUCGCCUUCAACAAUAUGAAGAAUAGAUCAACCGGCAAAUGUCCAUUUGAGGUCGUAUACACAAAACAGCCAAGACUAACAACCUUUGACCUAGCAUCACUCCCCACAACUAUUGACACUAGCUCAGAAGCAGAAAAGAUGGUAGAAAAGAUUCAGAAUUUACACGAAGAAGUCCAUAACCACCUAAAAGAAUCAACUCAGUCCUACAAAAAGGCAGCAGACAAAAAGAGAAGACAAGCUACCUUUACUGAGGGAGACUUAGUAAUGAUUCACCUCAGAAAAAUUCGAUUUCCAACUGGAACACAAACUGAAAGACAGACAAUUAGGACCAUUUCGUGUCCUAGAAAAGAUUUGAGAUAACGCUUACAGAAUUGAACUACCACCAGACUUGCACAUUCAUCCUAUUUUUAACGUGGCAGACCUGAAACAGUACUAUGCCCCAGAUGAUUUCUGCCUUGUCAACUAAGUCACUCGGGUCGAGUUCCAUGCUAGGGGGUGGAAUGAUGUAAUAUAGAAUGCCAUGGCUAAACAGCUGUAGUUAGUUAGUAAAACAGUUUAAAUAAUUAAACUGUUUAGCUGUUAAGACUGCAAUUAAAACUGUUUCAUAAAAACAGUUAUUUCAACUACUUGUAACUACUUACAAUCCUCAAUAUAUACUCCAUCUCUUAGCCACUAUUGGUGGAGAAUUCAUUGUGAAAAACUAAGUCCAACUUGAAUUACAUCAGUUUAUUAAGUCUGUUGAUUUGUGGAUGAACUAAAACAUAUACAUCUUUUCUAAAAAGGAUAAAAAAAACUUGCAUAAGUUUUCAUUUUCACAACUCUAUGAUUUGUGAUCAAUGCAGCAAGGAGCAGCUGGCAAACAAAUUUCUUUAUGCCAUAAAUGCGGAUGCUGGUUUUGAUCUAAGCUAAUGGAUGUUGUUGUUUUACCCUUCUUCUUGUUGAUAUACCUUUCGUAGCAUCCUUUCAUCCCUAAUCUCAUCCUCGACCACAACCACUGCUUUGACCACGAUCGUCUCUCCGAAGAUUUGUGAGACAGUUCCAUUAGGUUAUGGGCACUAAGUGGUGAAACAUUGAUGGAGAUGGUUGGUGACACUUCCAUUGUGUAUUCAGUGGAUUCACAUGCUUCCGAAGUCAUUGUUAGUGGGAGUGAAGAUUGUUCGGCAAAGAUAUGGAAAGAUGGAAUUUGUGUCUAGAGCAUUGAGCAUCCUGGUUGCGUUUGGGAUGCCAAGUUUUUGGAAAAUGGAGAUAUUGUCACAGCUUGUUUAGAUGGAGUAGUACGUGUCUGGACGGCAGAACAGGAAAGAAUUGCUGAUCCCCAAGAAUUGGAGUUAUUUGCUUCAAGACUGUCUCAGUAUAAGUUGAAGAGGUGCCCCACAACAGCUGCCACACACACACACACACUCACAAAGAGGAAGUUCCAAAAUCCUUUGGAAGAGGGUUGGAGGAUUGAAAUUGGAAGAAUUACCUGGGAUGGAUGCUUUACAAAUUCCAGGCUGUACUGGAGCUUGUCAUAAUCUUCCCAUGUUGCCUCAUGAGGAGGGAGACCUUGCCAUUUAAUCAAAACCUCACAGCUUCCUCUUUUAUUCUUCGAGUACCCAAAUAUUUCCUCCGGUAUAGAUUUCCACUCGUGAGUUUCAGUAACGUAAGGCAGCAUGUCUGUCUGUACAAGUUGAUGAUCACCAACCAUUUUUUUGAGUUGGGACACAUGAAACACUGGAUGGAUGGAAGCGGAUGCUGGCAACUCUAGCUUAUACGCAACCAGUAUGAUGCGUUCCACAAUCGUAUAAGGCCCAAAGAACUUGGGGGAUAGUUUCUCAUUUUUCUUUUGUCGUAAUGAGAUCUGUCUAUAGGGCCUAAUCUUCAGGAAGACCAUAUCGCCAACUGCAUACUCCACAUCAUGACGCUUCAAGUCUACGUUAUUUUUCAUCUUGUCUGUGCGACGAAUUAGUGUUCUUUUAGGACUCCCAGAAUUUCAACUCAUGCCUUGAGCUAUUCGUUUAAGGUAGUGUUUGGAGUGUCCCGGUCACCAUAAAACAUCAAUGGUGGUGGCAUACGUCCAUAGAUAGCCUGAAAUGGAGUGACCCCUACGGAUCUCUAAAAAGUAGUGUUGUACCAAUAUUCAGCCCAAUGUAUCCAUUUUGACCAUUCCUUAGGCCGUUCUCCACAAAAACAUCGCAGAUACGUCUCCACUCCCCUAUUAACCACCUCAGUUUUCCCAUCCGACUGAGGGUGAUAAGCGGUGCUUCGAUUUAAUCGGGUGCCUGCCAUUUUGAACAUUUCUUGCCAAAAGUUGCUCAAGAAUACCUUAUCUCGGUCGGACACUAUCGAUUUGGGAAAGCCAUGAAGUCGGACAAUCUCCUUAACAAAUAUAUUUGCUGAAUCUGUCCACCACUACAAAGAUGACUUCGAAACCAUUCGAUCUUGGUAAGCCCUCGAUAAAGUCCAUAGAUAUAUCGCUCCAAAUAUUGUUUGGACUGUCCAGGGACAGCAGCAGUCCGGUGGGGGAUAGUGCUAGGGAGUUGUUCUUCUGACAUAUUACACAUUCCUCACAAUACUUCUUAACAUCCGCCUUCAUUCCUUCCCAAUAUAGCUCACCAGUUGGUCGUUUGUAUGUGCAUAAAAAUCCAGAAUGGUCUCCAAGUACCGAAUCAUGGUAAGUAUGUAGGAUUGUGGGUAUCAAUGUAGAUGUUUUGGACAGCACAAACUUAUCCUUAUAUCUUAACAUACCUUGUCGGAUGGAGAAUUUACCCUCUGUUCCUUCUUCCAUUGCUUGUAGUUCUUCCAUUAUUUUGCUCAACUUUUCAUCCGCUUCGACUUCCUUUUUAAUCACCAGAAUGUCAACCAAUGUAGGAGCUGUUAUGCUACCGAGGUUAACUGUAGGAGGCAUCCAAGACAAGGCGUCUGCUGCUUUAUUCUCCAAGCCGGGUUUGUAGACCACCUCAAAUGAGUAUCCCGUUAGCUUCGCUA
Long non-coding RNA from Cucumis sativus (cucumber), 3422 nucleotides. RefSeq lists it as uncharacterized. The transcript is spliced from 6 exons. The record is from RefSeq and is a predicted model, not a curated record. NCBI's taxonomy places the organism in Eukaryota, Viridiplantae, Streptophyta, Magnoliopsida, Cucurbitales, Cucurbitaceae.